This 924-nucleotide ribosomal RNA is filed under the name Amidobia talpa. RNAcentral describes it as "SSU rRNA". It matches the Rfam family "Eukaryotic small subunit ribosomal RNA", at positions 439 to 1292 of the family's 1831-position model. Lineage: Eukaryota; Metazoa; Arthropoda; Insecta; Coleoptera; Staphylinidae. The record is from RNAcentral.
AAUUACCCACUCCCAGCACGGGGAGGUAGUGACGAAAAAUAANGAUACGGGACUCAUCCGAGGCCCCGUAAUCGGAAUGAGUACACUUUAAAACUUUUCCCGAGGAUCAAUUGGAGGGUAAGUCUGGUGCCAGCAGCCGCGGUAAUUCCAGCUCCAAUAGCGUAUAUUAAAGUUGUUGCGGUUAAAAAGCUCGUAGUCGAAUCUGUGUCCCGCGCCGCUGGUUCAUCGCUCGCGGUGUUCAACUGGCGUGUCUCGCGGGACGUCCUGCCGGUGGGCGCUCGUAUCGUUUCGGCGGUGCGUGGCCCAACUCGUAGCCGUCUCGCGCGGUUGCGAAUCCCAUCGCGGUGCUCUUUAUUGAGUGUCGAGGUGGGCCGGCACGUUUACUUUGAACAAAUUAGAGUGCUUAAAGCAGGCCAAUUUUGCCUGAAUAUUGUGUGCAUGGAAUAAUGAAAUAGGACCUCGGUUCUAUUUUGUUGGUUUUCGGAACCCCGAGGUAAUGAUUAAUAGGAACGGAUGGGGGCAUUCGUAUUGCGACGUUAGAGGUGAAAUUCUUGGAUCGUCGCAAGACGGACAGAAGCGAAAGCAUUUGCCAAAAACGCUUUCAUUGAUCAAGAACGAAAGUUAGAGGUUCGAAGGCGAUCAGAUACCGCCCUAGUUCUAACCAUAAACGAUGCCAGCUAGCGAUCCGCCGACGUUCCUCCGAUGACUCGGCGGGCAGCUUCCGGGAAACCAAAGCUUUUGGGUUCCGGGGGAAGUAUGGUUGCAAAGCUGAAACUUAAAGGAAUUGACGGAAGGGCACCACCAGGAGUGGAGCCUGCGGCUUAAUUUGACUCAACACGGGACACCUCNCCAGGCCCGGACACCGGAAGGAUUGACAGAUUGAUAGCUCUUUCUUGAUUCGGUGGGUGGUGGUGCAUGGCCGUU